Camellia sinensis is the source of this 5422-nucleotide non-coding RNA. The record is from RefSeq and is a predicted model, not a curated record. Lineage: Eukaryota; Viridiplantae; Streptophyta; Magnoliopsida; Ericales; Theaceae.
AAUCAAGAUGCUGAGAGAUAUGCUAAGACUAAAAAAUGGAGGAGAAAGGUCUGAAUUAGCUGGCCGAAGAAUUAGGGGUAGUAUGGGUGCUAAGAUUAGUAUCAUGAAGAUUGUGUCCUAGAAUGUUAGAGGGUUGGAAAGGAAAGCGAUGAUGAGUAGGGUCAGAAAUGUAAUUAAGGAAAGAAGAGUGGAUGUUGUGCUUAUUCAAGAAACUAAAAAAAGCAAUAUAGAUGAGCACUUUGUUUGGUCUAUUUGGCCAUGAGAAAGGAUGGAGUUUAUAGCUGUAAAUGUUGAUAGGAGUGCUAGGGGUCUGUUGAGCAUCUGGAAUCCUGACAUUUUUACAAUGUCAGAGUGCUGUGGAAAUAGGAAUUUUUUGGCUCUUUUAGGCACUGCUGUUCGAUCCUUUGGUUGUAUGUUACUUAAUAUCUAUGCCCUGAAUGAUGUGGUGAAGAGAGCAAGGUUAUGGGAGAUCACCCUUAGGAUUAGAAUGCAUUUUGAAAGCCUUUGGUGUAUGGGAGGGGAUUAUAAUGAAGUUAGAUGUAUAGCAGAGAGAAAGGGGUGUUCCAGGAGAGAUAAAAGGAUGUAAGACUUUAAUAACUUUGUUGAACAAUUAGAAAUUGUGGAUUUACCAAUGUUAGGUAGAAACUUUACAUGGUGCAAUUCAUUAGAUGGGGAAACGUGGAGUUAAAUAGACAGGUUUUUGUUAGAUCUUGUUUGGCUGGAAAAAUUUAGGUUCAAGUUAUAGGGCUUGCCUAGAAAUGUGUCGGAUCAUUUCCAUUUGUUGUUAAUGGAGAGAAAUUGGGGCCCUAAACCAUUUAGAUUUAUUAAUGCCUGGACACUGCAUCCAAAUUUUAGAUCAGUUGCACAAAAGGCUUGGUCUGGAUCAUAGGUGCAAGGGUGGGCUAGGUACAGACUUAAGAUGAAACUGUGUGGUCUUAAAGCUAGGUUGAAAAGAUGGAAUAUUAAAGAGUUUGGAAUUGUGGAGGAUUAGCUAAAAAAAGUAGAGGACAAGCUACAUGUAUUGGAUUUGUUGGCAGAAUCAAGAGUAAUGGAAACUCAUGAAAUAGCAUCCAGGAGGGAGGAAAGAAGUUUGGUAUGGAAGUUGUGGAGAAAAAUGGAGUGGAUUUGGUUCUAGAAGUCCAGAUUAAACUGGUCUCAAUGUGGAGACAAAAAUACUAGGUAUUUUCAUAUUAUGGCCAACAAAACACAAAGACGGAAUUUAGUUAGUGUUGAGGAUCAUGGGUUGGUAAGACAAGAAGUGUUAAGGCAUUUUUCAAAGGUAUUCUAUGAGAAGGGGAAAUCUAGACCAAAAUUGUUAGGAAAUUUUGUUUCAGUCAGUAGAUCAAAAGAGGUGGAGAUAUUGGAAGUUGAGUUUACAAUGGAUGAGAUAUGGGAGGCUAUGAAAGAUUGUGAUGGAAAUAAAGCGCCAGGCCCAGACGGAUUCAAUAUGACUUGUAUUCAGAAAUGUUGGAAGUUUAUGAAUAAUGAUGUGUUUCAGUUUAAUUCUCAUACCGAAGAAGAUGUGUCCUGAAGGGUUGCCGGAUUACAGGCUUAUAUGUUUGGUUGGAGUGGUAUAUAAAAUUUUGACCAAGGUUCUAUAAAAAAGAUUGCAAAAAGUUCUACAUGAUGUAAUUAGCGAAGUGCAAACAGCCUUUUUGGGAGGUAGGAAUAUAUUUGAUGAAGUAAUGAUUGCUAAUGAGGUGGUGGAUUGGUAGAAGAAGUAAAAAAGGAAGGGAAUCAUUCUCAAACUAGACUUCGAAAAGGCAUAUGACUCAAUUAAUUGGGAACAUUGUUCUCUAUGAUGCAUAAUCUGGGGUUAGGAGAGAAAUGGGUGGGAUGGAUAAAAACAUGUGUCACCACAGCAAGAGUGUCUAUUUUAGUUAAGGGGUCGCCAACGAAGGAAUUUAGUCCACAAAAGGGAGUAAGGCAAGGAGAUCUGUUAUCUCAUUUUCUGUUUAACAUUGCAGCUAAGGGACUAAAUGUGUUAAUGAAAAGAGAAAAAGAGUUGGGCCUAUUAAAGGGAGCAUCUGUUGGGACAUCAGGUUUGAGAUUAUCACACUUUCAGUUUGCCGAUGAUACGAUACUUUUUUGAGAAGCAGAGUGGGCUGGAAUGGUGAAUGUGAAAAGAAUUCUGAGAUGUUUUAAGGUAAUGUCAGGGUUAAAGAUAAAUUAUCAUAAAAGUGUGGUGUGUGGAGUAGGGAUUAGUGAGGAAGAGUCACAAACUUUUGGUUAAGAGUUGUUUUUCUUAUGUCAGAAAUUACCUCUAAAGUACCUGGGCUUACCACUUGGUGUAAAUCCAAGAAGGAAGAAGACUUGGCAGCUUGUUGUGGAUAAGGUUAGAUCCAAGUUAGCACUUUGGAAAAUGAAGCUGUUGUCAUUUGUUGGUAGGCUAACUUUGAUCAAGUCUGUCCUUGAUAGCUUACUUGGGUACUACAUCUCUAUUUUACUUGCCUAAAGGAGUAGCAAGGGAAAUUGACAAGCUUAAGGCUUCUUGUGGGGUAGUUCAGAUUUAAAAAGAAAGAUUCACUUGGUGAACUAGAAUGAAGUAACAAGGAAAAAAGAGCAAGGGGGGUUAUGAAUAAGAAGGAUCAGUGAUAUGAAUGAGUUCAUGCUAGUUAAGUGGUGGUGGAGAUAUGGGGUGGAAGAUAAAUCAUUAUGGAAGAAAAUUAUUACUAGUAAGUAUGAGGCCGAAGGGGGGAGGUGGUUACCAAUGAAGGAAGGGAUUGGUAAUGAAUACAUUAUGUGGAGUGAUAUUUUAAAUCUGACAAGAUCUAAUACUGGCUUGUUUGAGUUUUUUGUAUCGAAGUUUCAAAUUGAGGUUGGAAAUGGAAUCAGGGUUGCAUUCUGACAUGACAAAUGGCUAUUAAAUGUACAGCUAAAAAAAGGAGUUUCCUAGGUUGUUUAUGCUCUCAGUGGAAAAUGAAGGCAUAUUGAGUACUUUCAUACAAAGGAGGGACAGUUCUGGGGAUUGGAAGCUCUUGUUCAAAAGAUCACUACUUGCUUGAGAGGAAGAGGAGGUCAUAAGGUUGCAAGAAUUAACAAGAGAUGCUUCUAGCCUUAAUUUGGAGCAGAAGGAUUUAGUAAGAUGGGCUGUAUCUUCCUCAGGUUUGUUCAUAUUGGCAUCUCUAAAAGACUAGUUUGAGGCCAACAAAGGUCUUUCAUUACAAGUGCCUAGGAUGCUUUGGAAUAAUGUGGCAUCUCCAAAAGCACAGUUUUUGAGCUGGUUGGUGUGGAGAGGGAGGGUCAAAACCACUGAUAUGUUGGUAAAGUUUGGGGUGCUUAGUUCAACAAUGGUAAAUGAAUGUCCCUUUUGCAAGAAUCAGUGGAUCAUUUAUUUUUGCUAUGCCUCGAUGUGUGGAAGGUCUGGUCAAAGUUGUUGCUUUGGUGGGGAAUAAGCUGGGUUACCCUCGUUACUAUGGAGAGUUUGCUGCUAUGGUGGUUAGGAACAAAAUUCAAAAAGCUGGUUUUGAAGAUAUGGAGACUUGUUCCAAUUGUAAUUUUGUUGUCAAUCUGGAGGCUGAGAAAUGAGUGUGUUUUCAAAGGUAGACAUCACAAGAUGGAAGAGUUGGGUGAGACAGUAAAGACGAGGAUUAGGUUGUGGGUUAAGUACAAUUUGUCUAAUAUACACUAUUCAGUGCAUGAUAUUGUGGAAAAUUUGAAUAAGAUUAGGCUAUGUUUAUGAGGUGGUAGGAAGGUUGCAUUUUAUGGCUACUGCUAUAUCCAGUGUAGGCUCUGUUUAGGUAAUUGAGGGAGGUAUCAAUUGGUGUUUUGGUUGGAGAUUGGAAGUCUAGUUUGGGGCUUGGAAGUCUAGGUGUAUAACCAAGUUGUUAUUGCUGCUAGAUGCUGCUAAUGUUUACAGAUAUGUUACUGCUGUCAGUUGUUGAAAGUUGUUGUUGCCAGUUGCCACUGCUAUUACAGAGCUACUGCCAGUUGCUGCUGCUACUACAGAGCUGUGUUGGGCUUUGAGUGUUUAUUUGUAGCUUUGGGGAUUAUGUUACCUUGGUGAUAUCCUAUUAUUUCUACUGUUUUCUUUCUUUUUAUUGGCUAGUUGAUUGAACCCUCUCCAAUCUUGGGUUAAAUGCUGGUAUAUGAUUGAGCUAACUCUUCGGUGCCAACCUAGCUAGGAUGUUGACCUUAGUUAUGAUACUUGAUGCACUUCCCUACUUUAUUGAUCCCAGAACUACACAACAACACGAAGGAUUCCAAAUCCAUGCCAAUCUCUAUCUAAGAAAGAAACAAUGGAAUCAGGGGCUGUUGAAGGAGUUGCCUUUGGAGAGUUAGGCUUUGUGCUUCCUUAGCUAAGCAAUCUGGAGAAGGGCUCGCUCUGCGCCAAAUCCCUUGAAGAUGACACUGCCAAUCUUGAUCAAGCAAAAAGGACAGGUUGUUGUACAGAAAGUGAAGGAAUCGGAGAUAACCGAGCAGGACUCGCUUCUACUGUUAAAGAAAUAAAAAGAUGAACAAGAAUUGGAUUGAUUUGCCAAAUCGGAUGUCAGUUGAUUACGUGAAUGGAAUUGAUAACUUCUUGAGAUUUGCAUACAAUAAUGGAGAUGAAUGUUCAUCGAUUAGUUGUCCGUGUCGAUUUUGUAGUAAUUGAUAUAAUUUUUCAUAAGAGGAUGUAAGGGAGCAUCUUAUUUCCAAUGGAUUCGUAAAAAAGUACAAAAAUUGGAUUCAUCAUGGGCGAGGCAGCGGCCCAUCCCAAUCAUUAGCAGCCCCUUCAUUUAUUGAUGAGAUCACGCAGCGUGUGACAUAAGACGUUGAGUCUAGGGUUCACUACGACGAUCAAAAACCUAACGGCACGUGUUUUGUUCUUAGAGUCACAGGGUGUGGCUGGGAGUAUGAGCUUGAGAGAGGUGCAAUACUUACAAAUUGAUGAAUUUUACGUUUUAUCAAUUUGUAUAUAUACAUAUGGAAAUUAUUAACACAUUAUACUAACAUAUUGUAGGUGUCAGAUGCAUCUAGUGGGCAACAAGCUUCAAAAGAAAAUGAAUAGGAGGAAAGACGUUAAUUUUUUUUUAAGUGGCUUUCAGAAUGAGGGAAUACUGGAUACAAUGCAUGUUUUACUCGUCUAUCUCUGGAGCUCUCUGCCUGAGCAAAGACCCUUGGUUACUGUUCUCCUUUUACACUUAGAUCUUCUGGUGCAACGUGGUGAUGUGGAACUUGAAAAGAAAAUUGAUGAGAAGAUUAACCAGUUCAUCAAUAGAGUGGAGAAACACCUGAGCAAGAAAAUUGAUGAGAAGAUUGGCCAGUUCUGGAUUGUUUUUUUUUUUUAUUAAAGAACUUUUCCCAAGUUUUUAGUUGUAAUAACUUUCACAUAUGGCUCAAAUUUUGAGACUCAAAUGGAAUGUUCAAUUAAACUAUAAUGCUAUACUGUUUGAAUUCUUGUCAUUGCUAUUCCUAGAGUGCUUAACGCUAAACUUUUAUU